GACGAACGCUGGCGGCGUGCCUAAUACAUGCAAGUAGAACGCUGAAGGAGGAGCUUGCUUCUCUGGAUGAGUUGCGAACGGGUGAGUAACGCGUAGGUAACCUGCCUGGUAGCGGGGGAUAACUAUUGGAAACGAUAGCUAAUACCGCAUAAUAGUAGAUGUUGCAUGACAUUUGCUUAAAAGGUGCAAUUGCAUCACUACCAGAUGGACCUGCGUUGUAUUAGCUAGUUGGUGGGGUAACGGCUCAACAAGGCGACGAUACAUAGCCGACCUGAGAGGGUGAUCGGCCACACUGGGACUGAGACACGGCCCAGACUCCUACGGGAGGCAGCAGUAGGGAAUCUUCGGCAAUGGACGGAAGUCUGACCGAGCAACGCCGCGUGAGUGAAGAAGGUUUUCGGAUCGUAAAGCUCUGUUGUAAGAGAAGAACGAGUGUGAGAGUGGAAAGUUCACACUGUGACGGUAUCUUACCAGAAAGGGACGGCUAACUACGUG
Molecule: ribosomal RNA, 495 nt
Filed under: uncultured bacterium
Lineage: Bacteria
Description: partial 16S ribosomal RNA
Rfam family: Bacterial small subunit ribosomal RNA
Source: RNAcentral